GACGAACGCUGGCGGCGUGCCUAAUACAUGCAAGUAGAACGCUGAAGGAGGAGCUUGCUCUUCUGGAUGAGUUGCGAACGGGUGAGUAACGCGUAGGUAACCUGCCUGGUAGCGGGGGAUAACUAUUGGAAACGAUAGCUAAUACCGCAUAACAGUAGAUGUUGCAUGACAUUUACUUAAAGGGUGCAAUUGCAUCACUACCAGAUGGACCUGCGUUGUAUUAGCUAGUUGGUGGGGUAACGGCUCACCAAGGCGACGAUACAUAGCCGACCUGAGAGGGUGAUCGGCCACACUGGGACUGAGACACGGCCCAGACUCCUACGGGAGGCAGCAGUAGGGAAUCUUCGGCAAUGGACGGAAGUCUGACCGAGCAACGCCGCGUGAGUGAAGAAGGUUUUCGGAUCGUAAAGCUCUGUUGUAAGAGAAGAACGAGUGUGAGAGUGGAAAGUUCACACUGUGACGGUAUCUUACCAGAAAGGGACGGCUAACUACGUG
This 495-nucleotide ribosomal RNA is filed under the name uncultured bacterium. RNAcentral describes it as "partial 16S ribosomal RNA". It matches the Rfam family "Bacterial small subunit ribosomal RNA", at positions 28 to 507 of the family's 1533-position model. The record is from RNAcentral.